CAAAACAGUUUGCAGCCAUACCACCCUGAGCACACCCAAUCUCAUCUGACCUUGGAAGCUAAGCAAAGUUGGACCUGGUUAGUCCUUGAAUGGGGGACCACCUGGGACUAUUAGGUACUGUUUUGG
RNAcentral lists this ribosomal RNA (126 nucleotides) under Amphilophus citrinellus (Midas cichlid). Lineage: Eukaryota; Metazoa; Chordata; Actinopteri; Cichliformes; Cichlidae. The record is from RNAcentral.